RNAcentral lists this ribosomal RNA (357 nucleotides) under Coelioderes nigrinus. RNAcentral describes it as "partial 12S ribosomal RNA". Lineage: Eukaryota; Metazoa; Arthropoda; Insecta; Coleoptera; Curculionidae. The record is from RNAcentral.
AGUCUUUUCAGAGGAACCUGUCCUAUAAUUGAUAGUCCACGAUUAAAUUUACUUAUUUUAUUAAUUUAUAUAUCGUCGUAGUUUGAAUAUUUUUUAAAAAUUUAUUAAUAUUCAAAAUUUUGAAUGAACGGAAUUCAGAUCAAGGUGUAGUUUAUAAAUAAGAAGAGAUGGGUUACAAUAAAUAUAUUUAUACGGUUAAAUUUUUAUAAAAUUUUUAUAAGUUGGAUUUGAAAGUAAUAUAAAAUAUAUUUUUUAUAUGAUUAUAGCUCUAAAAUACGUACAUAUCGCCCGUCACUUUCAUUUUAAGAUGGAAUAAGUCGUAACAGAGUAGGUGUACCUGAAGGUGUCCCUAGAAAU